Molecule: ribosomal RNA, 321 nt
Filed under: uncultured Prevotella sp.
Lineage: Bacteria; Pseudomonadati; Bacteroidota; Bacteroidia; Bacteroidales; Prevotellaceae
Description: bacterial SSU rRNA
Rfam family: Bacterial small subunit ribosomal RNA
Source: RNAcentral
GAUGAACGCUAGCUACAGGCUUAACACAUGCAAGUCGAGGGGCAGCAUGGGGGUUGCUUGCAAUCCCUGAUGGCGACCGGCGCACGGGUGAGUAACGCGUAUCCAACCUGCCCGCCACUCGGGUAUAGCCCAGUGAAAACUGGAUUAAUCCCUGAUGGUCUCCUUUGCGGACAUCUGACGAGGAGUAAAGAUUCAUCGGUGGUGGAUGGGGAUGCGUCCGAUUAGCUAUGUUGGCGGGGUAACGGCCCACCAAGGCAACGAUCGGUAGCCGGUCUGAGAGGAUGAACGGCCACAAUGGAACUGAGACACGGUCCAUACUCC